RNAcentral lists this ribosomal RNA (182 nucleotides) under Mantidactylus melanopleura. RNAcentral describes it as "partial 16S ribosomal RNA". Lineage: Eukaryota; Metazoa; Chordata; Amphibia; Anura; Mantellidae. The record is from RNAcentral.
UUCUUUAAAUGGGGACUUGAUAUCAACGGCACCACGAGGGUUAGACUGUCUCCUUUUUCAAAUCAGUGAAAUUAAUCUCCCCGUGAAGAAGCGGGGAUACUCAUAUAAGACGAGAAGACCCCAUGGAGCUUCAAACCCAACUACACCCCUAGCUCUUAUAGCCCCACAACCCCCCCCCCCCC